UACGGAGGGUGCAAGCGUUAAUCGGAAUUACUGGGCGUAAAGCGCGCGUAGGCGGCUCGGUCAGUCGGGUGUGAAAUCCCUGGGCUCAACCUGGGAACUGCAUUCGAUACUGCCGAGCUAGAGUGUGGGAGAGGGUAGUGGAAUUCCCGGUGUAGCGGUGAAAUGCGUAGAUAUCGGGAGGAACAUCAGUGGCGAAGGCCGACUGCUGGCCCAACAC
RNAcentral lists this ribosomal RNA (217 nucleotides) under uncultured bacterium. Its description in RNAcentral is "partial 16S ribosomal RNA". It matches the Rfam family "Bacterial small subunit ribosomal RNA", at positions 524 to 740 of the family's 1533-position model. The record is from RNAcentral.